Molecule: ribosomal RNA, 277 nt
Filed under: uncultured bacterium
Lineage: Bacteria
Description: partial 16S ribosomal RNA
Rfam family: Bacterial small subunit ribosomal RNA
Source: RNAcentral
UACGGAGGGUCCGAGCGUUAAUCGGAAUUACUGGGCGUAAAGCGCGCGUAGGUGGUUUGAUAAGUCGGAUGUGAAAGCCCUGGGCUCAACCUGGGAACUGCAUCCGAUACUGUCAGACUAGAGUAUGGUAGAGGGUAGUGGAAUUUCUGGUGUAGCGGUGAAAUGCGUAGAUAUCAGAAGGAACAUCAGUGGCGAAGGCGGCUACCUGGACCAAUACUGACACUGAGGUGCGAAAAGCGUGGGGGAGCAAAACAGGAUUAGAUACCCGCGGUAGUCC